This 69-nucleotide transfer RNA is filed under the name Eleutheronema tetradactylum (Indian salmon). RNAcentral describes it as "tRNA-His". It matches the Rfam family "tRNA". From Rfam's summary of the family: Transfer RNA (tRNA) molecules are approximately 80 nucleotides in length. The record is from RNAcentral. RNAcentral also lists the same sequence under 1 other name. Lineage: Eukaryota; Metazoa; Chordata; Actinopteri; Polynemidae.
GUAGACAUAGUUUAACAAAAACACCAGACUGUGAUUCUGAAGACAGGGGUUAGAAUCCCCUUGUUCACC